GAUGAACGCUGACAGAAUGCUUAACACAUGCAAGUCGAUGGGGAAGUGGUGCUUGCACCUUGGCAACCAUGGCGGACGGGUGAGUAACGCGUAAGGGACUUACCUGCAGGACUGGGAUAACAGGGGGAAACUCCUGACAAGACCGGAUAAUGUCAUGGAGCUGCAUGGCUUUUUGAUGAAAGGAGACGCCUGCGGAGAGCCUUGCGUCCUAUUAGCUAGUUGGUGAGGUAAUGGCUCACCAAGGCGAAGAUAGGUAGCCGGCCUGAGAGGGUGGACGGCCACAAGGGGACUGAGAUACGGCCCUUACUCCUACGGGAGGCAGCAGUGGGGAAUAUUGGACAAUGGGGGCAACCCUGAUCCAGCAAUUCUGUGUGCACGAAGAAGGUUUUCGGAUUGUAAAGUGCUUUCAGCAGGGAAGAAGUAAGUGACGGUACCUGCAGAAGAAGCGACGGCUAAAUACGUG
RNAcentral lists this ribosomal RNA (463 nucleotides) under uncultured bacterium. RNAcentral's name for it is "partial 16S ribosomal RNA". It matches the Rfam family "Bacterial small subunit ribosomal RNA", at positions 28 to 507 of the family's 1533-position model. The record is from RNAcentral.